This 1474-nucleotide ribosomal RNA is filed under the name Curtobacterium sp. 3430. Its description in RNAcentral is "bacterial SSU rRNA". It matches the Rfam family "Bacterial small subunit ribosomal RNA". RNAcentral also lists the same sequence under 1 other name. The record is from RNAcentral. Lineage: Bacteria; Bacillati; Actinomycetota; Actinomycetes; Micrococcales; Microbacteriaceae.
GACGAACGCUGGCGGCGUGCUUAACACAUGCAAGUCGAACGAUGAUGCCCAGCUUGCUGGGUGGAUUAGUGGCGAACGGGUGAGUAACACGUGAGUAACCUGCCCCUGACUCUGGGAUAAGCGUUGGAAACGACGUCUAAUACUGGAUAUGAUCACUGGCCGCAUGGUCUGGUGGUGGAAAGAUUUUUUGGUUGGGGAUGGACUCGCGGCCUAUCAGCUUGUUGGUGAGGUAAUGGCUCACCAAGGCGACGACGGGUAGCCGGCCUGAGAGGGUGACCGGCCACACUGGGACUGAGACACGGCCCAGACUCCUACGGGAGGCAGCAGUGGGGAAUAUUGCACAAUGGGCGAAAGCCUGAUGCAGCAACGCCGCGUGAGGGAUGACGGCCUUCGGGUUGUAAACCUCUUUUAGUAGGGAAGAAGCGAAAGUGACGGUACCUGCAGAAAAAGCACCGGCUAACUACGUGCCAGCAGCCGCGGUAAUACGUAGGGUGCAAGCGUUGUCCGGAAUUAUUGGGCGUAAAGAGCUCGUAGGCGGUUUGUCGCGUCUGCUGUGAAAUCCCGAGGCUCAACCUCGGGCUUGCAGUGGGUACGGGCAGACUAGAGUGCGGUAGGGGAGAUUGGAAUUCCUGGUGUAGCGGUGGAAUGCGCAGAUAUCAGGAGGAACACCGAUGGCGAAGGCAGAUCUCUGGGCCGUAACUGACGCUGAGGAGCGAAAGCGUGGGGAGCGAACAGGAUUAGAUACCCUGGUAGUCCACGCCGUAAACGUUGGGCGCUAGAUGUAGGGACCUUUCCACGGUUUCUGUGUCGUAGCUAACGCAUUAAGCGCCCCGCCUGGGGAGUACGGCCGCAAGGCUAAAACUCAAAGGAAUUGACGGGGGCCCGCACAAGCGGCGGAGCAUGCGGAUUAAUUCGAUGCAACGCGAAGAACCUUACCAAGGCUUGACAUACACCGGAAACGGCCAGAGAUGGUCGCCCCCUUGUGGUCGGUGUACAGGUGGUGCAUGGUUGUCGUCAGCUCGUGUCGUGAGAUGUUGGGUUAAGUCCCGCAACGAGCGCAACCCUCGUUCUAUGUUGCCAGCGCGUUAUGGCGGGGACUCAUAGGAGACUGCCGGGGUCAACUCGGAGGAAGGUGGGGAUGACGUCAAAUCAUCAUGCCCCUUAUGUCUUGGGCUUCACGCAUGCUACAAUGGCCGGUACAAAGGGCUGCGAUACCGUAAGGUGGAGCGAAUCCCAAAAAGCCGGUCUCAGUUCGGAUUGAGGUCUGCAACUCGACCUCAUGAAGUCGGAGUCGCUAGUAAUCGCAGAUCAGCAACGCUGCGGUGAAUACGUUCCCGGGCCUUGUACACACCGCCCGUCAAGUCAUGAAAGUCGGUAACACCCGAAGCCGGUGGCCUAACCCUUGUGGAAGGAGCCGUCGAAGGUGGGAUCGGUGAUUAGGACUAAGUCGUAACAAGGUAGCCGUACCGGAAGG